Molecule: unclassified non-coding RNA, 169 nt
Filed under: soil metagenome
Description: partial contains 5.8S ribosomal RNA, internal transcribed spacer 2, and large subunit ribosomal RNA
Source: RNAcentral
AACACUGUUAACCUGCGGUACCUGCGGAGGGAUCAUUAAAAAAAUGAUGAAUGUCGGGGGGGCGUUUGUUCCCCCGUGUAUUCAACCAACCCGCUCUUGUAUUUGGAUCAACCAAAAAUCUAAAAAGCAAAAAUUAUAAUUAAUAAAAUAAACUUUUAACAAUGGAUCU